Molecule: transfer RNA, 76 nt
Filed under: Gammaproteobacteria bacterium
Lineage: Bacteria; Pseudomonadati; Pseudomonadota; Gammaproteobacteria
Description: tRNA-Met
Source: RNAcentral
GAUGAUGGUCGAAAGGUAGCUACGCUGCGGACACAUAACCCGCAGGUCGGUGGUUCAAGCCCACCCAUCACCACCA